GACGAACGCUGGCGGCGUGCUUAACACAUGCAAGUCGAACGGAAAGGCCCUGCUUUUGUGGGGUGCUCGAGUGGCGAGCGGGUGAGUAACACGUGAGUAACCUGCCCUUGACUUUGGGAUAACUUCAGGAAACUGGGGCUAAUACCGGAUAGGAGCUCCUGCUGCAUGGUGGGGGUUGGAAAGUUUCGGCGGUUGGGGAUGGACUCGCGGCUUAUCAGCUUGUUGGUGGGGUAGUGGCUUACCAAGGCUUUGACGGGUAGCCGGCCUGAGAGGGUGACCGGCCACCUUGGGACUGAGAUACGGCCCAGACUCCUACGGGAGGCAGCAGUGGGGAAUAUUGCCCAAUGGGCGGAAGCCUGAUGCAGCAACGCCGCGUGCGGGAUGACGGCCUUCGGGUUGUAAACCGCUUUCGCCUGUGACGAAGCGUGAGUGACGGUAAUGGGUAAAGAAGCACCGGCUAACUACGUG
This 468-nucleotide ribosomal RNA is filed under the name uncultured bacterium. RNAcentral's name for it is "partial 16S ribosomal RNA". It matches the Rfam family "Bacterial small subunit ribosomal RNA", at positions 28 to 507 of the family's 1533-position model. The record is from RNAcentral.